ACAUAUUCAAAACCCCAAUUUGAUCAUCAACUAUAACAACUCAAGAACUGAUCAAUACCCGGUACCAACAAUCACAACCUAAACCCUGAAAAAUCCCAAAAUGAGAACUUUCUACGUCUAAAGCAGCUAAGCACCAUACAUACAAGUCCAAUAAAGUAACUUUAAGUAUAAAAGAUCAAAACAUUCUGCCACCUAAACUGCUACGAAAUCAAUAAUCUCAAUCCUAAACUACAAACCUCGAUUAUUAGCCACAAAAAAAAAAAAAAA
This 267-nucleotide unclassified non-coding RNA is filed under the name Hevea brasiliensis (rubber tree). Lineage: Eukaryota; Viridiplantae; Streptophyta; Magnoliopsida; Malpighiales; Euphorbiaceae. The record is from RNAcentral.